RNAcentral lists this ribosomal RNA (1446 nucleotides) under Lactiplantibacillus plantarum. RNAcentral describes it as "bacterial SSU rRNA". It matches the Rfam family "Bacterial small subunit ribosomal RNA". The record is from RNAcentral. Lineage: Bacteria; Bacillati; Bacillota; Bacilli; Lactobacillales; Lactobacillaceae.
CCUAAUACAUGCAAGUCGAACGAACUCUGGUAUUGAUUGGUGCUUGCAUCAUGAUCUUACAUUUGAGUGAGUGGCGAACUGGUGAGUAACACGUGGGAAACCUGCCCAGAAGCGGGGGAUAACACCUGGAAACAGAUGCUAAUACCGCAUAACAACUUGGACCGCAUGGUCCGAGUUUGAAAGAUGGCUUCGGCUAUCACUUUUGGAUGGUCCCGCGGCGUAUUAGCUAGAUGGUGGGGUAACGGCUCACCAUGGCAAUGAUACGUAGCCGACCUGAGAGGGUAAUCGGCCACAUUGGGACUGAGACACGGCCCAAACUCCUACGGGAGGCAGCAGUAGGGAAUCUUCCACAAUGGACGAAAGUCUGAUGGAGCAACGCCGCGUGAGUGAAGAAGGGUUUCGGCUCGUAAAACUCUGUUGUUAAAGAAGAACAUAUCUGAGAGUAACUGUUCAGGUAUUGACGGUAUUUAACCAGAAAGCCACGGCUAACUACGUGCCAGCAGCCGCGGUAAUACGUAGGUGGCAAGCGUUGUCCGGAUUUAUUGGGCGUAAAGCGAGCGCAGGCGGUUUUUUAAGUCUGAUGUGAAAGCCUUCGGCUCAACCGAAGAAGUGCAUCGGAAACUGGGAAACUUGAGUGCAGAAGAGGACAGUGGAACUCCAUGUGUAGCGGUGAAAUGCGUAGAUAUAUGGAAGAACACCAGUGGCGAAGGCGGCUGUCUGGUCUGUAACUGACGCUGAGGCUCGAAAGUAUGGGUAGCAAACAGGAUUAGAUACCCUGGUAGUCCAUACCGUAAACGAUGAAUGCUAAGUGUUGGAGGGUUUCCGCCCUUCAGUGCUGCAGCUAACGCAUUAAGCAUUCCGCCUGGGGAGUACGGCCGCAAGGCUGAAACUCAAAGGAAUUGACGGGGGCCCGCACAAGCGGUGGAGCAUGUGGUUUAAUUCGAAGCUACGCGAAGAACCUUACCAGGUCUUGACAUACUAUGCAAAUCUAAGAGAUUAGACGUUCCCUUCGGGGACAUGGAUACAGGUGGUGCAUGGUUGUCGUCAGCUCGUGUCGUGAGAUGUUGGGUUAAGUCCCGCAACGAGCGCAACCCUUAUUAUCAGUUGCCAGCAUUAAGUUGGGCACUCUGGUGAGACUGCCGGUGACAAACCGGAGGAAGGUGGGGAUGACGUCAAAUCAUCAUGCCCCUUAUGACCUGGGCUACACACGUGCUACAAUGGAUGGUACAACGAGUUGCGAACUCGCGAGAGUAAGCUAAUCUCUUAAAGCCAUUCUCAGUUCGGAUUGUAGGCUGCAACUCGCCUACAUGAAGUCGGAAUCGCUAGUAAUCGCGGAUCAGCAUGCCGCGGUGAAUACGUUCCCGGGCCUUGUACACACCGCCCGUCACACCAUGAGAGUUUGUAACACCCAAAGUCGGUGGGGUAACCUUUUAGGAACCAGCCGCC